AAGUCGUAACAAGGUCUCCGUUGGUGAACCAGCGGAGGGAUCAUUACCGAGUUAUUACUCCAAACCCUUUGUGAACCUUACCUUUUUGUUGCUCGGCGUACCGCGGGCCGCGGCUUCGGCCCGUCCCGCAGCGCGCCAGAGGACCCAACUCUUCAAUUUAUAGCGUACCUUCUGAUUUACAAAACAAACAAGUUAAAACUUUCAACAACGGAUCUCUUGGUUCUG
RNAcentral lists this unclassified non-coding RNA (225 nucleotides) under fungal sp. Its description in RNAcentral is "partial internal transcribed spacer region". The stretch from base 1 to 46 matches the Rfam family "Eukaryotic small subunit ribosomal RNA", at positions 1786 to 1831 of the family's 1831-position model. The record is from RNAcentral. RNAcentral also lists the same sequence under 1 other name. Lineage: Eukaryota; Fungi.